CCUACGGGAGGCAGCAGGGAGGAAUAUUGGUCAAUGGCCGAGAGGCUGAACCAGCCAAGUGGCGUGAGGGAAGACGGCGCUACGGGUUGUAAACCUCUUUUGUCGGGGAGAAAAGCGAGUCACGUGUGACUCAUUGAGAGUACCCGAAGAAAAAGCAUCGGCUAACUCCGUGCCAGCAGCCGCGGUAAUACGGAGGAUGCGAGCGUUAUCCGGAUUUAUUGGGUUAAAGGGGUGCGCAGGCGGAGGUGCAAGUCAGCGGUAAAAUUGCGGGGCUCAACCCCGUACUGCCGUUGAAACUGCAUCCCUUGAGUGCGCGAGAAGUAUGCGGAAUGCGUGGUGUAGCGGUGAAAUGCAUAGAUAUCACGCAGAACUCCGAUUGCGAAGGCAGCAUACCGGCGCGCAACUGACGCUCAUGCACGAAAGCGUGGGUAUCGAACAGGAUUAGAUACCCCUGUAGUC
Molecule: ribosomal RNA, 459 nt
Filed under: uncultured bacterium
Lineage: Bacteria
Description: partial 16S ribosomal RNA
Rfam family: Bacterial small subunit ribosomal RNA
Source: RNAcentral